RNAcentral lists this ribosomal RNA (474 nucleotides) under uncultured bacterium. RNAcentral's name for it is "SSU rRNA". It matches the Rfam family "Bacterial small subunit ribosomal RNA", at positions 26 to 518 of the family's 1533-position model. The record is from RNAcentral.
AGGACGAACGCUGGCGGCGCGCCUAACGACAUGCAAGUCGAGCGAGAACCAGGGCUUGCCCUGGGGAAAGCGGCGAACGGGUGCGUAACACGUGAGCAACCUGCCCCAAAGACCGGGACAACCCGAGGAAACUCGGACUAAUACCGGAUGCCCUCACCGGGCCGCAUGGUCUGGUGAGGAAAUGGAUUCCGCUUUGGGAUGGGCUCGCGGUCUAUCAGCUUGUUGGUGGGGUAACGGCCUACCAAGGCGACGACGGAUAGCUGGUCUGAGAGGACGAUCAGCCACACUGGGACUGAGACACGGCCCAGACUCCUACGGGAGGCAGCAGUGGGGAAUCUUGCGCAAUGGGGGAAACCCUGACGCAGCGACGCCGCGUGCGGGAUGAAGGCCUUCGGGUUGUAAACCGCUUUCAGCAGGGACGAAAUUGACGGUACCUGCAGAAGAAGGCCCGGCCAACUACGUGCCAGCAGCCGC